RNAcentral lists this transfer RNA (78 nucleotides) under Oscillospiraceae bacterium. RNAcentral describes it as "tRNA-Arg". It matches the Rfam family "tRNA". From Rfam's summary of the family: Transfer RNA (tRNA) molecules are approximately 80 nucleotides in length. Their secondary structure includes four short double-helical elements and three loops (D, anti-codon, and T loops). Further hydrogen bonds mediate the characteristic L-shaped molecular structure. tRNAs have two regions of fundamental functional importance: the anti-codon, which is responsible for specific mRNA codon recognition, and the 3' end, to which the tRNAs corresponding amino acid is attached (by aminoacyl-tRNA synthetases). tRNAs cope with the degeneracy of the genetic code in two manners: having more than one tRNA (with a specific anti-codon) for a particular amino acid; and 'wobble' base-pairing, i.e. permitting non-standard base-pairing at the 3rd anti-codon position. Lineage: Bacteria; Bacillati; Bacillota; Clostridia; Eubacteriales; Oscillospiraceae. The record is from RNAcentral.
GCGCCUGUAGCUCAGUUGGAUCAGAGUGUCUGGCUACGAACCAGAAGGUCGGGGGUUCAAGUCCCUCCAGGCGUACCA